Molecule: ribosomal RNA, 417 nt
Filed under: uncultured bacterium
Lineage: Bacteria
Description: partial 16S ribosomal RNA
Rfam family: Bacterial small subunit ribosomal RNA
Source: RNAcentral
UGGGGAAUAUUGGACAAUGGGCGCAAGCCUAAUCCAGCAAUGCCGCGUGUGUGAAGAAGGCCUUCGGGUUGUAAAGCACUUUUAUCAGGAGCGAAACGGCUGUCGGCUAAUACCCGGCGGAACUGACGGUACCUGAGGAAUAAGCACCGGCUAACUUCNGUGCCAGCAGCCGCGGUAAUACGAAGGGUGCAAGCGUUAAUCGGAAUUACUGGGCGUAAAGCGUGCGUAGGCGGUUUCUUAAGUCUGCUGUGAAAUCCCCGGGCUCAACCUGGGAAUGGCAGUGGAUACUGGGAGGCUAGAGUGUGUCAGAGGGUGGUGGAAUUCCCGGUGUAGCGGUGAAAUGCGUAGAGAUCGGGAGGAACAUCAGUGGCGAAGGCGGCCACCUGGGACAACACUGACGCUGAGGCACGAAAGCGU